Molecule: long non-coding RNA, 682 nt
Filed under: Homo sapiens (human)
Lineage: Eukaryota; Metazoa; Chordata; Mammalia; Primates; Hominidae
Description: HSALNT0340640
Source: RNAcentral
CGCGCGGGAGCAGCUCCAACUUUUUCAAUUUGCCGCCAUCUUUACGGCGGCCGACUUCCCAGCCUGCCUCGCGUCCAGGGAGGCGGAGCUCAGAUGAGGUCCGGGGAAUGAGGUGAUUCGCCCAAAAGCACACUACAAAUUGGAGUCACCAGCAGGUCUGCUAUUUUGCCACUAAACCAAUCUGCCGGUUCAUGCUUCAAGCAAAAGUCCACUGGCUAAUGAUCAGAUGGUGAUAACUGGGAAUAAAGACAAUAAAAUGAGAAAAGCAAAAAGGCUGUUAGCUUGCUAUAACAAGGGAGUCAGCCACCAUCAUUUGUAUUUGGAUGAGACUCAAUGUCAGGCAGAGGAGUGGGUCACACCUUGGCUGUAAAGUGUCCUAACAGCCACCUACUUAUGAUUACUGCUUUCUUACCAAUAACCUCCCCAGCCUGUUGUGUGGCUCCUACAUCUUGAACAAAAGCGACCAAGGCAUACAUCUGUAGGAGACCAGAAUAUGCCACCCCAAAAUAUGCCUCCUUGGCCUAAGGAUUAUUCUGAGCUAGUAAUUUUGAGAAACAGAAGCUAUGAAAACAGCAUAAGCUACCCCUUUGAAAGAGAAAUUCACCCCGGCCACCACCCCGUCUGGGAAGUGAGGAGCGUCUCUGCCCAGCCGCCCCGUCUGAGAAGUGAGGAGCCCCUCCGC